CCUACGGGCGGCAGCAGUGAGGAAUAUUGGUCAAUGGAUGAGAGUCUGAACCAGCCAAGUAGCGUGCAGGAUGACGGCCCUAUGGGUUGUAAACUGCUUUUAUAGGGGGAUAAAGUGUGCCACGUGUGGCAUAUUGCAGGUACCCUAUGAAUAAGGACCGGCUAAUUCCGUGCCAGCAGCCGCGGUAAUACGGAAGGUCCGGGCGUUAUCCGGAUUUAUUGGGUUUAAAGGGAGCGUAGGCCGGAGAUUAAGCGUGUUGUGAAAUGUAGAUGCUCAACAUCUGCACUGCAGCGCGAACUGGUUUCCUUGAGUACGCACAAAGUGGGCGGAAUUCGUGGUGUAGCGGUGAAAUGCUUAGAUAUCACGAAGAACUCCGAUUGCGAAGGCAGCUCACUGGAGCGCAACUGACGCUGAAGCUCGAAAG
This 424-nucleotide ribosomal RNA is filed under the name uncultured Bacteroides sp. RNAcentral's name for it is "bacterial SSU rRNA". It matches the Rfam family "Bacterial small subunit ribosomal RNA", at positions 338 to 759 of the family's 1533-position model. Lineage: Bacteria; Pseudomonadati; Bacteroidota; Bacteroidia; Bacteroidales; Bacteroidaceae. The record is from RNAcentral.